UUUGUUCGCUGUGUAGUUGGGGGGGGGGACAAUUUUCUGGGGAGUUGCUCCCGGAAAAACGUCCAGGAAAUCGAGAAAAGUGGGGAUUCAAUACUGAAAUUGUUUGAAAAGUGUUCUCUAGACCUUGAGCUUCAUUUUGAUGUAAUUUUUAUGUGUGUGCACCUGUUUUUUCGAGGGUAAAUCCCGAGACAUAACCUCACUCAUGGCCCCUCUGAUGAAAGUUAUCGAGUCCAGAGGAGGGCGAACAGAAGUAAAUGCCUCUCGGAGGUCACAGACAUAACCUCACUUAUUGGCCCUCUGGAAGUUACCGAGUCCAGAGGUCAAACAGGGACAGAAGAUAUCAUAUAAGAAAAGGACAAAGAGAUAAUCAAAAGAGAAGGAAUCUCAAGGCACACGUGAUUCCUCUCGAGUCGUCCCUUUAAGCAGGAUGGAAAACAAACGAAGACUGGAAAUGCCCCUCGGAGGCCAGAGAAAUCCAGAAGCCUGCGGUGACGACGUUCAUUUGUUUCUCGAAGAAGCCAAGGGAGAGGGGGCAGCAGAGGAGCAGAUGAUCUUUGAUGCAUUUUUCUUUUGUUUGUUUUUCCUCACAAAAAAUGUAUUUUUAUUUAUAUUUUUUUUAUUAUUAUGUAUUUUUCUUUUGAUUAAUUGAUAAUAAAGUAAGCGGCAGUU
Molecule: long non-coding RNA, 669 nt
Organism: Anthonomus grandis grandis
Lineage: Eukaryota; Metazoa; Arthropoda; Insecta; Coleoptera; Curculionidae
Exons: 5
Source: RefSeq, a predicted model, not a curated record